GCCUGGGUGGCUCAGUCGGUUAAGCGUCUGGCUUCAGCUCAGGUCAUUAUCUCGCGGUCUGUGGGUUUGAGCCCCGCGUCAGGCU
This is a transfer RNA of Felis catus (domestic cat), 85 nucleotides long. It matches the Rfam family "tRNA". Rfam says of the family: Transfer RNA (tRNA) molecules are approximately 80 nucleotides in length. Their secondary structure includes four short double-helical elements and three loops (D, anti-codon, and T loops). Lineage: Eukaryota; Metazoa; Chordata; Mammalia; Carnivora; Felidae. The record is from Rfam.